CCCUCUCCAUGACGGCGAGGAUGCUGCUGCAGCCGCGUCUCCACCUGUGCAAGUCGUCCCCUCCGCCAUCGCCAUGCCCCCAGCGCCCGCCCCCAGCGCCCGCCCCCACGUGGAGGCUGGACCCUCGGCCGUGGUCCGAGAGCUGCGGUUGGAGUCUGCGCCAGGGCCGGUCCUCUCUGACUUCAGGGUCAGGGGAGCAGAGCCUCGGGGUCCACCCAGGAACGGCUGCCUUCAUGACGUGAGUCUGCACCUUUCAGACCUGGGGGCUAAAUCAGACUGCCGCAGCUUUUCCUCGUGGGAUGAAGAGGCAGCCUCGGAAACCAGGACACGCAGCAGCCUGUCUCCAGGGGGAGCUGGCUCAUUAAUUGCUCCUAAAUUGGACAGAAGGAUGGUGGGACUUCAAGAGAGCCCCUCCUGAGAACCGUGGCCUCGCAUUGCAGCCCGAGAUCGCCCGCCUCCUGGCCUCGGCUUCCCCCCUCCCCCACUGCCUGCUCCCCACAGACCUGGCCACUUCCAAAAACAUCUGGGGGAGAAGAGCGCGCUGCAGAGGGUUCUGUGAAAGGCAGGGGCAGGGGCAUCAUGCUGGUCCAGGGCUGGGCCUGCUGGGAACAGUGAAGCCUCCUCUCUGACGGCAGGGUGGGUGGGCAGGCACCGCUGCAGGGCCCAGGCGAGGGGGGCAAGGGGCCAGUUGGGACCUGGCCGGGCACCCCAGAGCUGACCGAGGCGCUCGGGAGCCCAGC
RNAcentral lists this long non-coding RNA (740 nucleotides) under Ovis aries (sheep). RNAcentral's name for it is "lncRNA (ENSOARG00000026772.1)". Lineage: Eukaryota; Metazoa; Chordata; Mammalia; Artiodactyla; Bovidae. The record is from RNAcentral.